RNAcentral lists this ribosomal RNA (271 nucleotides) under uncultured bacterium. RNAcentral describes it as "partial 16S ribosomal RNA". It matches the Rfam family "Bacterial small subunit ribosomal RNA", at positions 524 to 794 of the family's 1533-position model. The record is from RNAcentral.
UACGGAGGGGGCUAGCGUUGUUCGGAAUUACUGGGCGUAAAGCGCGCGUAGGCGGCUUUGCAAGUUAGAGGUGAAAGCCCGGAGCUUAACUCCGGAACUGCCUCUAAAACUGCAUCGCUAGAAUCAUGGAGAGGUUAGUGGAAUUCCGAGUGUAGAGGUGAAAUUCGUAGAUAUUCGGAAGAACACCAGUGGCGAAGGCGACUAACUGGACAUGUAUUGACGCUGAGGUGCGAAAGCGUGGGGAGCAAACAGGAUUAGAUACCCUUGUAGU